GGACAAUGAUAAACGAGAAAUCAUGUACCACAAUUUAGGUAAUACCAGAGACAGAUAAUCCAUAAGGCGGCAUAGGGCACAACCUAGGGCUUCGAUUUAGACAUUGGGCCCUCCUUGAGCCAGCAGGAAUCGUACUGCCUUGCCUUGUGCCCCUUCACUACCUCUGAACUUCUAUCCCUUGUGGUUUCAGCACUUCUUAAUGACUCAGUCAUUGAAUGAAUCCGG
Molecule: non-coding RNA, 225 nt
Organism: Pelobates cultripes (western spadefoot toad)
Lineage: Eukaryota; Metazoa; Chordata; Amphibia; Anura; Pelobatidae
Source: the annotation of a GenBank genome assembly